RNAcentral lists this ribosomal RNA (443 nucleotides) under uncultured bacterium. Its description in RNAcentral is "partial 16S ribosomal RNA". It matches the Rfam family "Bacterial small subunit ribosomal RNA", at positions 338 to 795 of the family's 1533-position model. The record is from RNAcentral.
CCUACGGGAGGCAGCAGUGGGGAAUAUUGGGCAAUGGGCGCAAGCCUGACCCAGCAACGCCGCGUGAAGGAAGAAGGCUUUCGGGUUGUAAACCUCUUUUCUCAGGGACGAAGCAAGUGACGGUUCAUGAGUAAUAAGUCAAGGCUAACUACGUGCCAGCAGCCGCUGUAAUACGUAGGUGGCACGCGUUAGCCGGAUUUACUGGGUGUAAAGGGCGUGUAGGUGGGAAGGCAAGUCAGAUGUGAAAACCAUGGGCUGACCCUGUGGCGUGCAUUUGAAACUGUUGUUCUUGAGUACUGGAGAGGCAGACGGAAUUCCUAGUGUAGCGGUGAAAUGCGUAGAUAUUAGGAGGAACACCAGUGGCGAAGGCGGUCUGCUGGACAGCAACUGACGCUGAGGCGCGAAAGCGUGGGUAGCAAACAGGAUUAGAUACCCCUGUAGUC